Molecule: long non-coding RNA, 1026 nt
Organism: Pyrus x bretschneideri (Chinese white pear)
Lineage: Eukaryota; Viridiplantae; Streptophyta; Magnoliopsida; Rosales; Rosaceae
Exons: 3
Source: RefSeq, a predicted model, not a curated record
AUGUCUGAGUUGUUCAACUUCAAUCCUUUGGUCUGCAUUCUCAUGCCUGCAGAUGGUUGUUUGCCUUAUUUUUUGCUAAGUUUUCACUUUUUGCUUCUGGAAUUAUGUUUAUAGGUUCAAGGGAUUGAAACAGUCACCACUUAUGAUUCGAAUACUGGAGAAUUUGUUGUUAGUACUCCUUGUGAAUCAGCUCAGAAGUAUUGGAUUGGAGCAGCAGCUAAUCAUGCCACACACUCAAUAGUCUUUUCACAACUCAGUAUUUCCGGGAACAACCAAGGUGUCCAUGCUCUUAUAGCCCAUAUCAGGAUGAAAAUGGUAAUGUCUGUCCAGGAGUUCGUAUUGCCGAUUGUGGUCACAAAAUUGGCUUAAAUGGUGUUGAUAAUGGUCGAAUAUGGUAAUCAUGUUUUUAGUUUUCAGUUUAAUUGACUAUUCAUGUCCAUUACAUAUUUCUGUAAGUUCAAUUCCGUGGCUUAGAGGAUUUAGAAAUGUGUUAACAUGUUUGACAACAUUCGAAUUCCAAGGGAAAAUUUGUUAAAUUCAGUUGCCGAUGUUUCCCCGGAUGGGAAAUAUCUGAGUGCAAUAAAAGACCCAGAUCAGGUAGUUCUAUUUCCGGUUGAACAUAUGUUUAGCUUUUAUUUGACAAAAAAAAUGUUCUCUCCUUUUAUUGACACUUUGUUUCUUUCGUUCAGAGAUUUGCAGCAUUCAUGGCUCCAUUGACAUGGGGUCGUGUAGCUAUAGCAGUCAGUGCCGUUUACUCUUCACAGAUAAGCAUAGCAAUAGCCAUAAGGUACUCAUUGACAAGGCCUAUUGCUUGACUACCCUAGUCAUCAACAGCGGCGUUUGCCUCUUCUUGCAAAAACGUAAGAAUUUUGUGGCAUUGUGGUGUCUCAGUUUAAUUGGACUUAUUGCAAUAACAGCUUUUUCACAAGUCAAAUUGAUACUGUCUGGUUUUUCAUGUCUAGGAAAUACUUCUUGUUCUCAUUGUUGUUAAUAAUUAAAACAGCCAAGUUAAUAAUGUAUCUGCUA